GCCCUUAUAGCUCAGCUGGUAGAGCACCUCCAUGGUAAGGAGGGGGUCGACGGUUCAAUUCCGUCUGAGGGCU
RNAcentral lists this transfer RNA (73 nucleotides) under Spirochaetes bacterium GWF1_51_8. RNAcentral describes it as "tRNA-Thr". It matches the Rfam family "tRNA". From Rfam's summary of the family: Transfer RNA (tRNA) molecules are approximately 80 nucleotides in length. Their secondary structure includes four short double-helical elements and three loops (D, anti-codon, and T loops). Lineage: Bacteria; Pseudomonadati; Spirochaetota. The record is from RNAcentral.